AAGGGAAUCUUCCGCAAUGGACGCAAGUCUGACGGAGCAACGUCGCGUGAGUGAAGAAGGAUUUCGGUUCGUAAAACUCUGUUGUUAGAGAAGAACAGCGCAUAGAGUAACUGUUAUGCGUGUGACGGUAUAUAACCAGAAAGCCACGGCUAACUACGUGCCAGCAGCCGCGGUAAUACGUAGGUGGCAAGCGUUGUCCGGAUUUAUUGGGCGUAAAGCGAGCGCAGGCGGUCAAUUAAGUCUGAUGUGAAAGCCCCCGGCUCAACCGGGGAGGGUCAUUGGAAACUGGUUGACUUGCGUGCAGGAGAGGAGCGGGGAAUUCCAUGUGUAGCGGUAAAUUGCGUAGAUAUAUGAGAGAACACCAGUGGAAAAGGCGACUCUCUGCUAUGUAACUGACGCUGGGGUUCGAAAGCGUGGGUAGCAAACUGG
RNAcentral lists this ribosomal RNA (429 nucleotides) under Bacteroidota bacterium. RNAcentral describes it as "Bacteroidetes bacterium partial 16S ribosomal RNA". It matches the Rfam family "Bacterial small subunit ribosomal RNA", at positions 355 to 776 of the family's 1533-position model. The record is from RNAcentral. Lineage: Bacteria; Pseudomonadati; Bacteroidota.